This 1059-nucleotide long non-coding RNA is filed under the name Numida meleagris (helmeted guineafowl). Its description in RNAcentral is "lncRNA (ENSNMEG00000005669.1)". The record is from RNAcentral. Lineage: Eukaryota; Metazoa; Chordata; Aves; Galliformes; Numididae.
CUACAAUGAACUGGGACAUCCACCGCUCAAUCAGGUGCUCAGAGCCCAGUCCACUUUCUCCAUUACACUUAAAUCACAUGGUUUGAAUGAAAAGAGGACUCCCUAGCUUUUUGCACAUGGAGCAAUGAGUAGAGCAGAUUCUUUGGAUGUUUCCCCAUAAGCAAGAUUUAGAUGGGAACAAUUUGUGUUGAUGCUGAGUGUCGGGGAACCGUUAGGUAACCGCCUGAACUGAUGAUUGAGCAGCUGGUGAAGGGGUAUGGCUGACCCAGGAAGCACAGAUGCAAACAAUUUACCUGUGCUUCCCACAUGACCAGAAGGGGUGGGCCCAAGGGCCAAGCUCAUUUAAGGGGUAGCCUUUGAAGUAGGGCUGUUUCCUGCAUGAAGAUUUGUUCCUGAGAGGAAGUUCUACAGCUAGAGACCCUUACCACCAGCUGGGUGAGUCAACUUUUUUCUGGUAUAUACCUAUUGGUAUUCCUAGUAAUGUUUUGCCUGGUAUCAUAAAGAGCUUGUCAGAAGUAGUUUUGCUGCUUUGCAGGAUGAGUACUGAGGAAGAGUGUACAACUGUAUGGCUGCUACCCAUAUCUGAGGACCUCAGUCAUGGCCAUUCGCCCAUCCCUGCCUCACCUGUCAGAGCAGCCCACUGCCGCCUCCUCCAUCCCAACCCAUUAGCAGGGACAACUCCAUCUCCAUGCUCACAUCCCAUUGCACGAACCAGCUCCACCAUGGGAUCCAGGGCUGCUCACCACGGCAGCGGCUGCUCGGAUGGAGUCAUUUGAAUCCAUGAUUUAUGUGUUCUUCACACUUUAAUUGCAUGGCGGAAUCUCUCACUCUGGCAGUGUCUAAUCUCCCGACAUUUCACAUGCUCUGCCUGCGCGGUGGCGGAAGAUGAAUAGCCCAUUCAUGUGGGGAGUGCUUCACAUCCAAAUAUGCUGACUUACAAUGCUGAUAGACUGGAGCGAGAGAUGAAGGAUAGCAGCAGGGACUGGGUAACUUGUUGUGCCUGGCAAACCUCAUUGAUUCCAAAAUAAAAUGCGCUCUGUGUUUAUCUGUAAAUGAUGG